AAUGCAGCAUUUACACAUAGUAGGCACCAAAUACAUGUCAGUAGAUGGUGACAACAAUGAAUAUGAGGUUGAAAAAAAGUUAGCCUCCCAAAUCUCAGAGCCAGAUGAACAGAAUAAAUGUGAGUAAGGUUGAAAAUACUACUUAAAAAAAAACAAAACAAAAAAAAACUAUUUCAUUUGCCAGAGGGCUAGAUCUUCCACUUUAUAUUUUGUUCAAGGAUUUAGCUGCCCUAAGAUAAUCAUAACUUGGAACUUGGACAUGUGACCUGGGAAGUUUGGGGUGGCUGUUUCAUUGGUUACAUCUCCUGAGAAAAAUUCUCAGGCUAGGAAAAAAUACUCUGACAGUGACAUGCAAAGGCUGGUACUUAUAACUACCAUCCUCAAUGUUUAGGGGAAAGGAGUUUUAAUGACGGGCCAAAGAACAGAUGUCAAAUCCCCAGCCAUCCUUCUGCCAUUUGCUGUUUGUUAUGAGUCACCCUGGAGCCCAUCCAUCCCGGCACCAAUUUUCAUGGGAAGCAUUGAUGUGUGACCAGAAGUGUGUGCUGAUGGAUGGAUUCACUUCCUGCAACCCUGGCUCAUCAAAUACAGAAGGGCUGCAGAAACACCUCUGCUUAGGACACUUGUGUGUGUGGUCCAUGCCAGCCAUCGGUGGCAAGAGUUCUAAGAAGGGAGAGGGCCAUCUCCUGGACAGCAGUGGGAAGAGAGAUGUGCACGAAAAAGACGAGGGAGAUUCGACCAUCCGAGGGUCAAGACACAGAAAUUCGAACUGGCCCAGAGCGACCUUACUUGGCGCAGAGAAUCAUUUACCGAACGGGCGAGGGUGUGCGGAUACGGGAGCUAUUCUUAAAAGACAGAGUGAUGAACAGCUGCACCUGAAGUCGAAAAACGAUCCAAACUUUGAUUCCUUUCUGUGGACUUGUUCGAAUUGAAAGGCCGAUUGUAAGCAAAAAACAACUUCAGUUUGCUGAUGGAGGUCCUGUUAAAAGAGGCCAACAGGAGUACAAGACACAUGGCGACUAAAUCGCUACGUGAUGCGACUAUUUUUCGGAGACUUUCUAAAGAACGUUCCUAUUACUUUUUUAAGGUGCGGAAUUUAGCUAAACAACUACUACAGCUAACAUUCUAAGAUAACGUGGUUACUUUCCUAAUAUAAAAAUUCAUAGGUUCCGAUUGUGUAACAUAAACAACAGAACAAAUCAGGCUAGACAACCAAGUCCCCUUAUGUAAAUGCCUAAUUCCAUCAUUCAAAGAUAGUUGGUUUGUAUAGUAAAUCUAAAUCACAGGGCCAAGCUUAGCUGCCCUUUCGUGAAGAAUAUCUCAACUUUCCUGAAGCCUCAAAGAAGACAUACUGCAAUGUCAGUAUUUUGUUCUUUAGAGGGAAUAAAUUGCCCUUUUCAGCCA
Bos indicus x Bos taurus (hybrid cattle) is the source of this 1401-nucleotide long non-coding RNA. The record is from Ensembl. Lineage: Eukaryota; Metazoa; Chordata; Mammalia; Artiodactyla; Bovidae.